Molecule: ribosomal RNA, 800 nt
Filed under: uncultured bacterium
Lineage: Bacteria
Description: bacterial SSU rRNA
Rfam family: Bacterial small subunit ribosomal RNA
Source: RNAcentral
AGAGUUUGAUCCUGGCUCAGAUUGAACGCUGGCGGCAUGCCUUACACAUGCAAGUCGAACGGCAGCACGGGAGCAAUCCUGGUGGCGAGUGGCGAACGGGUGAGUAAUAUAUCGGAACGUGCCCAGUCGUGGGGGAUAACGCAGCGAAAGCUGUGCUAAUACCGCAUACGAUCUAUGGAUGAAAGCGGGGGACCUGUAAGGGCCUCGCGCGAUUGGAGCGGCCGAUAUCAGAUUAGCUAGUUGGUGAGGUAAAGGCUCACCAAGGCGACGAUCUGUAGCUGGUCUGAGAGGACGACCAGCCACACUGGAACUGAGACACGGUCCAGACUCCUACGGGAGGCAGCAGUGGGGAAUUUUGGACAAUGGGGGCAACCCUGAUCCAGCCAUUCCGCGUGAGUGAAGAAGGCCUUCGGGUUGUAAAGCUCUUUCGGCAGGAACGAAACGGUCCGCUCUAACAUAGCGGGCUACUGACGGUACCUGCAGAAGAAGCACCGGCUAACUACGUGCCAGCAGCCGCGGUAAUACGUAGGGUGCGAGCGUUAAUCGGAAUUACUGGGCGUAAAGCGUGCGCAGGCGGAUUGUUAAGCAAGACGUGAAAUCCCCGGGCUUAACCUGGGAAUGGCGUUUUGAACUGGCAGUCUAGAGUGCGUCAGAGGGGGGGUGGAAUUCCACGUGUAGCAGUGAAAUGCGUAGAGAUGUGGAGGAACACCGAUGGCGAAGGCAGCCCCCCUGGGAUGACACUGACGCUCAUGUACGAAAGCGUGGGUAGCAAACAGGAUUAGAUACCCUGGUAGUCCACG